UAAUGCUGAACAAAACAGCAACCCUGAAGCCUCUCUUGGUGACGUGUUGUCUCUGCAGCUGUAACAGGAGCAAAAUUGAGGAGAGAAUCUGCUGCCUCAGUCACAGUGCAAAAAUAAUUAUCAGGAACUACUUUGACAAGUCUAUUCCAGCUUUCUCAUCUUCAAAUGGUCCUUUCCUCCUGCUGGACUGGAGGUGAACUGAGUAUAUGCCUGCAAGGCUUUGGGACUGGCCUGCCUUAGCCCGAAUUUGUAUAAAGAGUCUCCUGGAAUCCAGCUACGGUUAAUGAAUCACAUCGUAUCACCUUCUAUCAACAGUUGCAACAUACUUCAGAGGAUAUUCCCCUUGGUCUUCAGGAAAAGGGCCAGUGCUGGUCUUGCCUAUCCACACCCGUGGAUCACCAGACUUCUCCAAAGAAGGCAAGAGAAAAUGGGAAGCUCAGUGUAAUGUGGAGCAAUCUAGGCAAAAUGGAAACAACUGAGAGAGGUACCAGGAAACCUGGAGGAGAGGGACAGCCAGUCCCAGCAAUAGCCAGGAAAAUGGCACUCUCAGCCCAGAGGACACAAAGAUCUUCAGCAGGCUGAAAGCAAUUUUCAAGCAACAUGAGCUACCUAGCCAGUGGUAAAAGAGAAUAAAGAGGAUAAGAAUGA
This is a long non-coding RNA of Vidua chalybeata, 648 nucleotides long. RefSeq lists it as uncharacterized. The record is from RefSeq and is a predicted model, not a curated record. Lineage: Eukaryota; Metazoa; Chordata; Aves; Passeriformes; Viduidae. The transcript is spliced from 3 exons.